UACGUAGGGUGCAAGCGUUAAUCGGAAUUACUGGACGUAAAGCGUGCGCAGGCGGUUAUGUAAGACAGGUGUGAAAUCCCCGGGCUUAACCUGGGAACUGCAUUUGUGACUGCAUAGCUAGAGUACGGUAGAGGGGGAUGGAAUUCCGCGUGUAGCAGUGAAAUGCGUAGAUAUGCGGAGGAACACCGAUGGCGAAGGCAAUCCCCUGGACCUGUACUGACGCUCAUGCACGAAAGCGUGGGGAGCAAACAGG
Molecule: ribosomal RNA, 253 nt
Filed under: uncultured bacterium
Lineage: Bacteria
Description: partial 16S ribosomal RNA
Rfam family: Bacterial small subunit ribosomal RNA
Source: RNAcentral